This is an RNA transcript of Homalodisca vitripennis (glassy-winged sharpshooter), 2040 nucleotides long. It is a transcript of the gene named trophoblast glycoprotein-like, with no coding region annotated. The transcript has 3 exons. The record is from RefSeq and is a predicted model, not a curated record. Lineage: Eukaryota; Metazoa; Arthropoda; Insecta; Hemiptera; Cicadellidae.
AUGAAAUUAACUCAUUUGAAUCUGGGAUACAAUGAAAUAACUGAACUCUCUCCAGAAGACUUUAUGGGAUGGGGGGAAUACAUCGAUGUACUGCUCCUCCAAAACAACCACAUAUUAAGAUUAGAAAGCAACUUAUUCAAAUAUACUCCUCAUCUAAGAGAGUUGAGCUUGUCCUUCAACAGAUUGAUUGAUAUUGACCCGUAUGCUUUCACAAAUGUAGUGAAUAGCCUAGAAAACUUAGAGAUAAGCUUUGGUCUUUACAGAGAUGAUUUCCCCGAAGAGGUCAUAUCAAAAUUAUCGUCACUUGUUUGGCUAUCUUUGGAUAACAAUAACCUUAGAUAUAUACCACCGAAUUCCUUGGGUAAUCUAAGGAAGCUGCAAUAUUUAAAUCUUGAUUCUAACUGGUUUACUUCGAUACCUAGAGGACUAUUCAACAGCAGCGUGCACAGUAACCUGCGAGACAUCCGCCUCUCCUACAAUCACGUAAAAAAGCUUGAUCCUUUUACAUUUUUCAAUUUGUGGAAUCUUCAAACGGUAGUUUUCAUAUCAAACAACAUCAGGACAGUUCACUCAAACGCGUUUGUCACCUUGCCGAAACUGUCAACUGUGAUCCUGUCACAAAACAGGAUCAGCACUUUACACCGGAAGUGCUUCCGAAAUCUUCCUAGCAUGAGGAAACUUGACUUGCAGCUAAACGAAAUGAGAGAAUUUUCCUUGAACGCGUUUGAAAACGUGACAUCAUACGGAAGUCUGUCUUUGAAUAUUUCAAGGAAUGAGAUAAGUUUACUUACAUUUGAUAACAGCACUGCAGAUAUAAAAAUUAAGGUAUUGGAUGUAAGUCAUAAUAGGUUGAGUGAAGUACCGAUUACAUUUUUGAAUUUCAUGUCGAAUUCUCUAACCAGGUUAAACCUUGGAUACAAUUUGAUAUAUCAGAUCAGUCCUUUCAGUUUUGCUAACCUGACUCUGCUGGAAGUGCUGGAAUUGGAGCAUAACGGGAUAGUCAGCGUGAGAAGGAAGGCAUUCUUCGGACUCAGUAAUUUACAGAUUUUGGAUUUAUCACACAAUCACAUACAGUCACUACAGGUCUCACAGUUUGUCAGCUGUCCAAAUCUUCGGGUUGUCGAUUUGUCCUUCAACCACAUCAGAGCCUUACCCAGAGACACGUUUCAGAAUACGAGGAUAGAACGACUGGUGCUUUCCAACAACCAGUUUAUAGUGUUCCCGAGUCAGGCUCUCGGAGAGAUAGGGUUUACUAUGAGACACCUUGACCUAUCCUGUAAUUUCAUCGACCGUGUUGACAGCACGAUGUUUUACGAGACCCAGUUCCUCACCAGUCUGAACCUUUGCCACAACAAGAUCAACAUAUUGCCCGACAACGUAUUUACGAGUCUCGGGAACCUCUUGAGGCUGGAUCUCUGCAGAAAUCCACUAACUGCCAAUUUCAAGGAACUUCUCCACUACAUACCAAAACUUCGUUACCUCAACCUCGCUCAGACUGGGAUGAAAUCUUCACCUCUGUUGCCUCUUCCCAAGCUCACACACUUAAAUCUCUCAGGAAACGUCCUUGAAAACCUACCGACAAGUUCUGUGGAAGGAUUGGCGAAUUUAAGGACUUUGAACCUACGUGGAAACAGGCUGACCAGUAUUCCAUCCAAUUGUUGGUCCAAUCUUCCCAUGCUCAAGCAUCUGGAUAUUUCCCUCAACCCUAUCAAAGUGAUUACCUCAGAUAGCUUCCUAGGCCUUCAGACACUGGAUUCUCUGAAUCUGAAGCAACUCUAUCGCCUAGAAAGAUUUGAUGCCGGAUCGUUGUCAGAACUGAAAGUGCUCACUUCUCUGGAGCUCCAGAGCUGACGAUGGUUACGGCAGAAAGGGUUCCAGGUAUCAUCCAUUCUGCAAGGAGUGACCUCUCUCAGGAGACUUUCCCUAGAAGUGCUCGAGGAAACUUUGUCAGACCAGCUUCAUGGUCUGACCUUGCCACACCUUCGACACCUAACGAUCUCCGGGCAGACGCUCAUGUUCUUGGAGCCAGGGGCGCUAUCG